AGCGAAGCGGGAAGAGCUCAAAUUUAUAAUCUGGCACCUUCGGUGUCCGAGUUGUAAUCUCUAGAAAUGUUUUCCGCGUUGGACCGCACACAAGUCUGUUGGAAUACAGCGGCAUAGUGGUGAGACCCCCGUAUAUGGUGCGGACGCCCAGCGCUUUGUGAUACAUUUUCGAAGAGUCGAGUUGUUUGGGAAUGCAGCUCAAAUUGGGUGGUAAAUUCCAUCUAAAGCUAAAUAUUGGCGAGAGACCGAUAGCGAACAAGUACCGUGAGGGAAAGAUGAAAAGCACUUUGGAAAGAGAGUUAACAGUACGUGAAAUUGUUGGAAGGGAAACGCUUGAAGUCAGACUUGCUUGCUGAGCAAUCGGUUUGCAGGCCAGCAUCAGUUUUCCGGGAUGGAUAAUGGUAGAGAGAAGGUAGCAGUUUCGGCUGUGUUAUAGCUCUCUGCUGGAUACAUCUUGGGGGACUGAGGAACGCAGUGUGCCUUUGGCGGGGGUUUCGACCUCUUCACACUUAGGAUGCUGGUGGAAUGGCUUUAAACGACCCGU
Molecule: ribosomal RNA, 544 nt
Filed under: Rhodotorula mucilaginosa
Lineage: Eukaryota; Fungi; Basidiomycota; Microbotryomycetes; Sporidiobolales; Sporidiobolaceae
Description: eukaryotic LSU rRNA
Rfam family: Eukaryotic large subunit ribosomal RNA
Source: RNAcentral